UGUAAAGUUCAAGCUCCGAUUAUGAGGGCGAUCCGCGAAUGGCUCAUUAAAUCAGUCAUAAUCUACUUGAUUGUUUAAAGGUUACAUGGAUAACUGUGGUAAUUCUAGAGCUAAUACAUGCACAAAAAGGACGACUCUCCGGCAACGGGGAGAAGUUCUGCGUUUAUUAGACUAAGACCAAUGGAUCGGGCAACCGAUUCCUCAUCUUGGUGACUCUGAGUAAAUAAUGGGUGAAAACCCAUGGUGCUGACCUGGCAUACCAAAAGGCUCUCACGAGUCUGCCAGGCAAAUCAAUCGAGUGUCUGCUCUAUCAACUGUGGAUGGUAGGGUAAUUGCCUACCAUGGUGGUGACGGGUAACGGGGAGUUAGGGCUCGACUCCGGAGAACAAGCCUGAGAAACGGCUAGUAGGACUAAGGUCUGCAGCAGGCGCGAAACUUACACAAUGCUAGAUUACCAAUAGCGAUGUAGUGAAGAAAAAUAACGAUGUACUUGCUUUCAAAAAGGCUAGUACAAUUGGAAUGAGACGACUUUAAACCGGUCAGUCGAGUAACAAAUGGAGGGCAAGUCUGGUGCCAGCAGCCGCGGUAAUUCCAGCUCCAUUAGCAUACAUUAAAGUUGUUGCGGUUAAAAAGCUCGUAGUUGAAUUUUAGGCGGGCUCUAUUGGGGCGCAGCCGAUAAAGGUUCGGUCGACUUCGGUCUUCCGGGCUGGUUGCGCUUUCCCAUUAGGAACCCGUUGUUUCGUCACUUAAUCGAGUGCGAAGCGGGCUGGUAUAUAGCGCUCCGGCGCUCGUAUAGCAGCAUGUUUACCUUGAGAAAAUUAGAGUGCUCAGAGCAGGCAGUUGGGGUGUAAAAGCCCCUUUAUGCUUGAAUAAUGUUGCAUGGAAUAAUAGAAUACGGCCUCGGUUCUAUUCUGUUGGUCUUAUAGAACAACAAAUAAGUUGGUUAGGGCGACAAAAAGUCGGCCUUGGGCGUGGUUCUUCGUGUACUGUUGUCUGGGGCCUUAAAAUCUCAGUACCUUGCGCGAUUUAUCAUUAAAGCGCCCUUGGUUAGGCUAGCUCUUCAAUCAACUGAGGCAAUGGUUAAAAGAAAUAGUCGCGGCGGCAUCAGUACUGCAUCGUGAGAGGUGAAAUUCUUAGACCGAUGCAAGACUAACUGAAGCGAAAGCGUUUGCCGAGGAUAUUUUCAUUAAUCAAGAACGAAAGUUAGAGGUUCGAAGGCGAUCAGAUACCGCCCUAGUUCUAACCAUAAACGUUGCCAACUAGCAAUUGGGUUGCGAUUCCUUUAACCAAGGCGUAAAAACCUUGGUCAUUAUGAUCCACCCAGCGGCUCUCGUAGGGAAACCAAAGUGUUUGGGUUCCGGGGGAAGUAUGAUUGCAAAGUUGAAACUUAAAGGAAUUGACGGAAGGGCACCACCAGGAGUGGAGCCUGCGGCUUAAUUUGACUCAACACGGGGAAACUUACUAGAUUAGAACUCUGGAAUGAUUGACAGAUUGAUAGCUCUUUCUUGAUUCAGAGGAUGGUGGUGCAUGGCCGUUCUUGAUUCGUAUUCCGAAACGUCUGCUUAAUUGCGAUAACGAGUGAGACCUCACCCAACUAACUAGUCGUUCGGUGCGCUGUGGGACACAAAAGUCCUUGCAGGGUUCGGCAGCAAGUGCUGGCUUCGGUCAGUGUCUACUGCUUCCUGUAUGGAUGUCCUCUGCUCGCCUGCGGACUUCUUAGAGGGAUAAACGGUGUUUUAGCCGUAAGAAACGAG
RNAcentral lists this ribosomal RNA (1754 nucleotides) under Calepitrimerus sp. NJAUEriHN150. Its description in RNAcentral is "bacterial SSU rRNA". It matches the Rfam family "Eukaryotic small subunit ribosomal RNA", at positions 56 to 1449 of the family's 1831-position model. The record is from RNAcentral. Lineage: Eukaryota; Metazoa; Arthropoda; Arachnida; Trombidiformes; Eriophyidae.